This 479-nucleotide ribosomal RNA is filed under the name uncultured bacterium. RNAcentral's name for it is "partial 16S ribosomal RNA". It matches the Rfam family "Bacterial small subunit ribosomal RNA", at positions 28 to 507 of the family's 1533-position model. The record is from RNAcentral.
GAUGAACGCUGGCGGCGUGCUUAACACAUGCAAGUCGAACGAAGCACUUAAGAUUGAUUCUUCGGAUGACGUCUUUUGUGACUUAGUGGCGGACGGGUGAGUAACGCGUGGGUAACCUGCCUCACACAGGGGGAUAACAGUUAGAAAUGACUGCUAAUACCGCAUAACCCGAUAGGAUCGCAUGAUCCAGACGGAAAAGAUUUAUCGGUGUGAGAUGGACCCGCGUCUGAUUAGCUAGUUGGUGAGGUAACGGCCCACCAAGGCGACGAUCAGUAGCCGGCCUGAGAGGGUGAACGGCCACAUUGGGACUGAGACACGGCCCAAACUCCUACGGGAAGCAGCAGUGGGGAAUAUUGCACAAUGGGGGAAACCCUGAUGCAGCGACGCCGCGUGAGUGAAGAAGUAUUUCGGUAUGUAAAGCUCUAUCAGCAGGGAAGAAAAUGACGGUACCUGACUAAGAAGCCCCGGCUAACUACGUG